Molecule: ribosomal RNA, 382 nt
Filed under: uncultured eukaryote
Lineage: Eukaryota
Description: SSU rRNA
Rfam family: Eukaryotic small subunit ribosomal RNA
Source: RNAcentral
AGCUCCAAUAGCGUAUAUUAAAGUUGUUGCAGUUAAAAAGCUCGUAGUUGGAUUUCUGGUUUGAACGUUUUGUCCGGCGCUGUGCGCUGUGUACUUAAAUGAUUCGAACCAUCCUUGUAGGGAAUGUGCGUGGUCUUAAUUGAUCGUGUUCGGGAACUACAUCGUUUACUGUGAAAAAAUUAGAGUGUUUAAAGCAGGCAUUUGCUGUGAAUACAUUAGCAUGGAAUAAUAAGAUAGGACUUUGGUACUAUUUUGUUGGUUGGAGACCAAGGUAAUGAUUAAUAGGGAUAGUUGGGGGUAUUCAUAUUUAAUUGUCAGAGGUGAAAUUCUUGGAUUUAUGAAAGAUGAACUUAUGCGAAAGCAUUUACCAAGGAUGUUUUCA